GGCCUGAUAGUGUAGUGGGUAACACGUCUGCUUUACAUAAGAUUCUGAUGCCAUUUCAGCAGAAGUCCCUCGUUCGAUUCGGGGUCAGGCCG
Molecule: non-coding RNA, 92 nt
Organism: Mycena latifolia
Lineage: Eukaryota; Fungi; Basidiomycota; Agaricomycetes; Agaricales; Mycenaceae
Source: the annotation of a GenBank genome assembly